UUUAAAUGGCCGCAGUAUUUUAACUGUGCAAAGGUAGCAUAAUCAUUAGUCCUUUAAUUGAAGGCUGGUAUGAAUGGUUGGACGAGGUAUUAACUGUUUCAUAUAAAUUUAUAUUAGAAUUUUAUUUUUUAGUCAAAAAGCUACAAUUAAUUUAAAAGACGAGAAGACCCUAUAAAUCUUUAUAUUAUAUAAUUUAUAAUUUUAUAGAUUAUGUUUAUUAUAAAUUUAAAUAAUAUUUUAUUGGGGUGAUAUUAAAAUUUAAUAAACUUUUAAUUUUUAAAUUCAUUAAUUAAUGAUUUAUUGAUCCGUUAUUAACGAUUAAAAAUUUAAGUUACUUUAGGGAUAACAGCGUAAUUUUUUUGGAGAGUUCUUAUCGAUAAAAAAGAUUGCGACCUCGAUGUUGGAUUAAGAUAUAAUUUAGGUG
This 424-nucleotide ribosomal RNA is filed under the name Atherigona varia. RNAcentral's name for it is "partial 16S ribosomal RNA". The record is from RNAcentral. Lineage: Eukaryota; Metazoa; Arthropoda; Insecta; Diptera; Muscidae.